This 465-nucleotide ribosomal RNA is filed under the name uncultured bacterium. Its description in RNAcentral is "partial 16S ribosomal RNA". It matches the Rfam family "Bacterial small subunit ribosomal RNA", at positions 28 to 507 of the family's 1533-position model. The record is from RNAcentral.
GACGAAUGCUGGCGGCGUGCUUAACACAUGCAAGUCGAACGGAAAGGCCCCCUUGUGGGGUACUCGAGUGGCGAACGGGUGAGUAACACGUGAGUAACCUACCCUUGACUUUGGGAUAACUUCAGGAAACUGGGGCUAAUACCGGAUAGGAGCUCCUGCUGCAUGGUGGGGGUUGGAAAGUUUCGGCGGUUGGGGAUGGACUCGCGGCUUAUCAGCUUGUUGGUGGGGUAGUGGCUCACCAAGGCUUUGACGGGUAGCCGGCCUGAGAGGGUGACCGGCCACAUUGGGACUGAGAUACGGCCCAGACUCCUACGGGAGGCAGCAGUGGGGAAUAUUGCACAAUGGGCGGAAGCCUGAUGCAGCAACGCCGCGUGCGGGAUGACGGCCUUUGGGUUGUAAACCGCCUUCGCCUGUGACGAAGCGUGAGUGACGGUAAUGGGUAAAGAAGCACCGGCUAACUACGUG